UUCGUGGAGGUCCGAACGGGUGAAAGUUGAAAAUUUCUCCGAUGAGCUGUGGCUAGGGGUGAAAGGCCAAUCAAAUUCCGGGAUAGCUCGUUCUCCCCGAAAGACAUUUAGGUAUCGUCUCCAGCAAUUCUGUCACGGAGGUAGAGCACUGAAAGGGCUAGGGGUCUUACCAGAUUACCAAACCCUAUCAAACUCCGAAUGCCGUGAACUGUUAUCUGGGGAAGCAGUCAUUGGGUGCUAAGGUCCGAUGACGAGAGGGAAAGAGCCCAGACCGACAGCUAAGGUCCCAAAGUUUUGGCUAAGUGGUAAAGGAUGUGGGAACGCAUUGACAGCCAGGAAGUUGGCUUAGAAGCAGCCACCUUUUAAAGAAAGCGUAAUAGCUCACUGGUCGAGUGGGCCUGCGCCGAAAAUGUAACGGGGCUAAAGCCAAACACCGAAGCUUCGGGUUUUAUAGAGAUACGUCUCUUUAAAGCGGUAGGGGAGCGUCGUAGCGGCAACGAAGGUUGAUCGAAAGAACGACUGGAGCUUCUACGAGUGAGUAUGCCACAAUGAGUAGCGAUAAAGAAUGCGAGAAACAUUCUCGCCGUAAACCCAAGGUUUCCUGGGGCAGGUUAAUCCUCCCAGGGUUAGUCGGGUCCUAAGCUGAGGCCGCAAGGCGUAGGUGAUGGAAAGCAGGUUAAUAUUCCUGCACCUGAUAUGAGCAUUGAAGCAAGCGGGGACGGAGAAGGGUAGCUGGGCCACCUGAUGGAUGGUGGUUAAGCAAGUAGGCUGAAGAGAUACGAAACCAAAGGUCUCUUCUUAAGGCCGAGAUGUGAUAUCAACAUUUCUCCUCGGAGAAAUGGAGUCAGUGAUCCCAUGCUUCCAAGAAAAGCCGCGUGUGGAGCAAAAUAUCAGCUCGUACCGUAAACCGACACAGGUGGGUGGGGUGAGUAUCCCAAGGCGCUUGAGAGAACCCAGUCUAAGGAACUCUGCAAAUUGGCACCGUAACUUCGGGAGAAGGUGUGCCUCUUUUGGUGAAGGAACCUGCUUCCGGAGCUGAGGGAGGUUGCAGUGACCAGGCGGUGGCGACUGUUUAUCAAAAACACAGCACUCUGCAAAACCGUAAGGUGAGGUAUAGGGUGUGACGCCUGCCCGGUGCUGGAAGGUUAAAGGGAUCUGUUAGUCGUAAGGCAAAGCAGUGAACUGAAGCCCCAGUAAACGGCGGCCGUAACGAUAACGGUCCUAAGGUAGCGAAAUUCCUUGUCGGGUAAGUUCCGACCUGCACGAAUGGCGUAACGAUCUCCGCACUGUCUCGGGCUGGGACUCAGCGAAAUUGUGCUUGCUGUGAAAACGCAGUGUACCUGCGGCAAGACGGAAAGACCCCGUGAACCUUUACUGUAGCUUGACAGUGAUAUUCGGGCAAGUUUGUGUAGGAUAGGUGGGAGACUUUGAAGCGGGGGCGCUAGCUCUCGUGGAGUCGUCCUUGAAAUACCACCCUGGCUUAUUUGGAUAUCUAACCUAGGCCCGUAAUCCGGGUCGGGGACAUUGUCUGGUGGGCAGUUUGACUGGGGCGGUCGCCUCCC
This 1562-nucleotide ribosomal RNA is filed under the name metagenome. RNAcentral's name for it is "bacterial LSU rRNA". It matches the Rfam family "Bacterial large subunit ribosomal RNA", at positions 763 to 2291 of the family's 2925-position model. The record is from RNAcentral.